UACGGAGGAUCCGAGCGUUAUCCGGAUUUAUUGGGUUUAAAGGGUGCGUAGGCGGCCCGUUAAGUCAGGGGUGAAAUACGGCAGCUCAACUGUCGCAGUGCCUUUGAUACUGAUGGGCUUGAAUAGCGUUGAAGAUGGCGGAAUGAGACAAGUAGCGGUGAAAUGCAUAGAUAUGUCUCAGAACACCGAUUGCGAAGGCAGCUGUCUAAGCGAAGAUUGACGCUGAUGCACGAAAGCGUGGGGAUCGAAC
Molecule: ribosomal RNA, 250 nt
Filed under: uncultured bacterium
Lineage: Bacteria
Description: partial 16S ribosomal RNA
Rfam family: Bacterial small subunit ribosomal RNA
Source: RNAcentral